AGGAUUAGAAAACUGAAGCCAGGUUCAGC
RNAcentral lists this non-coding RNA (29 nucleotides) under Homo sapiens (human). Lineage: Eukaryota; Metazoa; Chordata; Mammalia; Primates; Hominidae. The record is from RNAcentral.